Molecule: ribosomal RNA, 623 nt
Filed under: Rhodotorula mucilaginosa
Lineage: Eukaryota; Fungi; Basidiomycota; Microbotryomycetes; Sporidiobolales; Sporidiobolaceae
Description: eukaryotic LSU rRNA
Rfam family: Eukaryotic large subunit ribosomal RNA
Source: RNAcentral
GCAUAUCAAUAAGCGGAGGAAAAGAAACUAACAAGGAUUCCCCUAGUAGCGGCGAGCGAAGCGGGAAGAGCUCAAAUUUAUAAUCUGGCACCUUCGGUGUCCGAGUUGUAAUCUCUAGAAAUGUUUUCCGCGUUGGACCGCACACAAGUCUGUUGGAAUACAGCGGCAUAGUGGUGAGACCCCCGUAUAUGGUGCGGACGCCCAGCGCUUUGUGAUACAUYUUCGAAGAGUCGAGUUGUUUGGGAAUGCAGCUCAAAUUGGGUGGUAAAUUCCAUCUAAAGCUAAAUAUUGGCGAGAGACCGAUAGCGAACAAGUACCGUGAGGGAAAGAUGAAAAGCACUUUGGAAAGAGAGUUAACAGUACGUGAAAUUGUUGGAAGGGAAACGCUUGAAGUCAGACUUGCUUGCCGAGCAAUCGGUUUGCAGGCCAGCAUCAGUUUUCCGGGAUGGAUAAUGGUAGAGAGAAGGUAGCAGUYUCGGCUGUGUUAUAGCUCUCUGCUGGAUACAUCUUGGGGGACUGMGGAACSCAGUGUGCCYUUUGGCGGGGGUUUCGACCUCUUCACACUUAGGAUGCUGGUGGAAUGGCUUUAAACGACCCGUCUUGAAACACGGACCAAGGAGUCA